GAUGAACGCUAGCGACAGGCUUAACACAUGCAAGUCGAGGGGCAGCGGGGGCGAAAGCUUGCUUUCGCCUGCCGGCGACCGGCGCACGGGUGAGUAACACGUAUGCAACCUGCCCGCAGCAGGGGGAUAAGCCGGAGAAAUCCGGUCUAAUACCGCGUAAAACCCUGAGGGGACAUCCCCAUGGGGUCAAAGGAGCAAUCCGGCUGCGGAUGGGCAUGCGUCGCAUUAGGCAGUUGGCGGGGUAACGGCCCACCAAACCGACGAUGCGUAGGGGUUCUGAGAGGAAGGUCCCCCCACACUGGUACUGAGACACGGACCAGACUCCUACGGGAGGCAGCAGUGAGGAAUAUUGGGUCAAUGGACGGGAGUCUGAACCAGCCAAGUAGCGUGCAGGAUGACAGCCCUAUGGGUUGUAAACUGCUUUUAUAGGGGGAUAAAGUGUGCCACGUGUGGCAUAUUGCAGGUACCCUAUGAAUAAGGACCGGCUAAUUCCGUGCCAGCAGCCG
This 506-nucleotide ribosomal RNA is filed under the name uncultured bacterium. RNAcentral describes it as "bacterial SSU rRNA". It matches the Rfam family "Bacterial small subunit ribosomal RNA", at positions 28 to 517 of the family's 1533-position model. The record is from RNAcentral.